Molecule: non-coding RNA, 119 nt
Filed under: Veillonellaceae bacterium
Lineage: Bacteria; Bacillati; Bacillota; Negativicutes; Veillonellales; Veillonellaceae
Source: RNAcentral
ACAAUUUCAAAGGGAGACAGAGCUUUUGCUCGUGUGGAGAAUCCGGUGCAAAUCCGGAACUGUUUGACAGCCGUAAGGGGUGACCCGAGUCGGAUACCGCCUGUUUUCAAUGUACAUGC